GGCUUAAUACAUGCAAGUCGUGGGGUAGAGAGGUGCUUGCACUUCUUGAGACCGGCAAACGGGGGCGGAACACGUAACAACCUUCCUUUUAGAGGGGGAUAGCCCAGGGAAACUUGGAUUAAUACCCCGUAAGAUGUUGGUGAGGCAUCUCACUGAUAUUAUAGCAGCGAUGCGCUAGAAGACGGGUGUGCGUAUGAUUAGGUAGUUGGCGGGGUAAUGGCCCACCAAGCCUACGAUCAUUAACUGGUGUGAGAGCACGACCAGUCACACGGGCACUGAGACACGGGCCCGACUCCUACGGGAGGCAGCAGUAAGGAAUAUUGGUCAAUGGACGCAAGUCUGAACCAGCCAUGCCGCGUGGAGGAUGAAGGUCCUCUGGAU
This 381-nucleotide ribosomal RNA is filed under the name uncultured bacterium. RNAcentral describes it as "bacterial SSU rRNA". It matches the Rfam family "Bacterial small subunit ribosomal RNA", at positions 45 to 423 of the family's 1533-position model. The record is from RNAcentral.